GACGAACGCUGGCGGCGUGCUUAACACAUGCAAGUCGAACGGAAAGGCCCUGCUUUUGUGGGGUGCUCGAGUGGCGAACGGGUGAGUAACACGUGAGUAACCUGCCCUUGACUUUGGGAUAACUUCAGGAAACUGGGGCUAAUACCGGAUAGGAGCUCCUGCUGCAUGGUGGGGGUUGGAAAGUUUCGGCGGUUGGGGAUGGACUCGCGGCUUAUCAGCUUGUUGGUGGGGUAGUGGCUUACCAAGGCUUUGACGGGUAGCCGGCCUGAGAGGGUGACCGGCCACAUUGGUACUGAUAUACGGCCCAGACUCCUACGGGAGCCAGCAGUGGGGAAGAUGGCACAAUGGGCGGAAGCCUGAUGCAGCAACGCCGCGUGCGGGAUUACGGCUUUCCGUUUGUAAACCGCUUUCGCCUGUGACGAAGCGUGAGUGACGGUAAUGGGUAAAGAAGCCCCGGCUAACUACGUG
RNAcentral lists this ribosomal RNA (468 nucleotides) under uncultured bacterium. Its description in RNAcentral is "partial 16S ribosomal RNA". It matches the Rfam family "Bacterial small subunit ribosomal RNA", at positions 28 to 507 of the family's 1533-position model. The record is from RNAcentral.